This 253-nucleotide ribosomal RNA is filed under the name uncultured bacterium. RNAcentral describes it as "partial 16S ribosomal RNA". It matches the Rfam family "Bacterial small subunit ribosomal RNA", at positions 524 to 776 of the family's 1533-position model. The record is from RNAcentral.
UACGGAGGGUUCAAGCGUUAUCCGGAUUCACUGGGUUUAAAGGGUGUGUAGGCGGGUAUUUAAGUCAGUGGUGAAAUCUCCGGGCUCAACCCGGAAACUGCCAUUGGUACUAUUUAUCUUGAAAAUUGUUGAGGUAGGCGGAAUAUAUCAUGUAGCGGUGAAAUGCAUAGAUAUGACUUAGAACACCAAUUGCGAAGGCAGCUUGCUAAACAAAUAUUGACGCUGAGGCACGAAAGCGUGGGGAUCAAACAGG